RNAcentral lists this unclassified non-coding RNA (336 nucleotides) under soil metagenome. Its description in RNAcentral is "partial contains 5.8S ribosomal RNA, internal transcribed spacer 2, and large subunit ribosomal RNA". The stretch from base 1 to 120 matches the Rfam family "5.8S ribosomal RNA", at positions 35 to 154 of the family's 154-position model. The record is from RNAcentral.
GAUGAAGAACGCAGCGAAAUGCGAUAAGUAAUGUGAAUUGCAGAAUUCAGUGAAUCAUCGAAUCUUUGAACGCACAUUGCGCCCGCUAGUACUCUAGCGGGCAUGCCUGUUCGAGCGUCAUUUCAACCCUCAAGCCCUGCUUGGUGUUGGGGCCCUACGGCUGCCGUAGGCCCUGAAAGGAAGUGGCGGGCUCGCUACAACUCCGAGCGUAGUAGAAAUCUAUCUCGCUAGGGAGGUGCGGCGCGCUCCUGCCGUUAAAGACCCAUCUUUAACCAAGGUUGACCUCGGAUCAGGUAGGAAUACCCGCUGAACUUAAGCAUAUCAAUAAGCGGAGGA